UAGAAUAUAUUUGUUAUAUAUUUUCAAACAAAAUAUUUUAAAAUACAAAUAUAGAAUAUGACCCCAAUUUUAUAUACACUAUGCAUAGAUAGACACACAGACACACACACACACACACACACACACACGAGAUAAAAGACUGCAAAUUGUUUAGUACUGCAAAACUCUAAAUGUUUAAUCUCUUAGUAAUGAUAUUACAGGAAAACAAUAGCAAACAGUAAACACACCAAACAUCCAAUGAAAAAUAGAAACUGCCAUGUUCACUUCAAAUAGGUUUAGACAUCACUUUCUCAUCUACUAAGUGAUUAACUACUGAGUGAUUGAUUAAAUAGAUAUCACAAAAAUUGUGGGUCAAAAACACUCCCAUCAUAGUUAUUUCCACUAUAUCUGUUGACUCCCAAAUCUAAAGUGUAGCCAAGACUUUCAUAUAUUUCCCAACUGCCUCUGCACAGUUGGAGAUAGUUAAAGUAAAAAUAGAGUUUGAAUCAGAAAUCAAUAUAUCAAAUCCUAGCUCUAUCUUUUUAUGCUUGUGUGUUAUUGGGUGACAAUACUAAAACUUCUGCAACCUCAACUCUGUAUCUAUGAGACUGGCAUGGUUCUGGGAGACCACAUGUAGGAAGGUCCCAAGUGGACUACGGUUAGCAAACCCCAGCCCUUCCAUGCCUUCUGGUCCACCUGCUCCUGCCUGCCCCUCAGUUAAGAGACAGCCCCCCGUGAAGCCCACGCCUGGAGGACCCUGACCCCAUUCCCCUUGGUGCCCGUGCCCACUGCCCAGCCCUGCGGCUCCCACCCAUUGACUCUGGAGCCGUCGUCUCCCUCUCCUGCCUACUUCACCAAUACCGCCCUUCACGACUUCCUCUUCUAAUGCCGAGCAGUGUCCUCGUCCCACGCCAGGUCUCAUACGCAGCCUCCCCGGGCCACAGAUGUGUGGGGAGCAGGUCUCAGUUCUUGUCCUCCAUCCCCACUCUGGCCUCACCCUCCUGUCAGUCUGCUCAGUCCCGACACCGCCUUCCAGACCCAUGUGCCCUCAUGCCCUGUCCCCCAGGGCCAGACUGGCCAUGGCCUCCCCUCCCCAGCCUGCCACAGGUUUACAGAACAUCUCACCUGUCUUGCUCAGAGCCCACAUGAGACCGUGCUGCCCUCAGGGAUCACGACCUGGUGAGGGAGGGAUUGAGCAAUGUUGUACACACCACGUGUUUCCACCUGUGCCUGGGACAUUGGCACCUGCUCUCCAAAUGCUUCGGGAAUAAAUGAGAGUCAAUUUAAUCUACAUCCACAGAGAAGAGGAAGGAAAGGCACUGAAAUGUGACAUUCGUCAAACAUGCCAGGACUGUUCAAGCUGCCUUUCACACACAUCGAAGUUUAGCUUCUCCAAAGCAAGGGGAGGCCAACGAGCCCCAAAUCACCCACAGCAGGGCCAGGAUUUGAAUUAAUCUUCCAGAUUCCAAACUCUUCACUAGACCGUGGUUUCCUAAAAUGAGAAACCAGCUGACGAGAGCGGGAGGCAUGAGUGCUGCCCUACCAUAAAGGGAUCGCAUCUGAAGCUACAGCCACCAUGACCUUACAUUCUUUUUCUUCUUUCACUUCAGAAGUGUAUCUGAAUCCUUAGUUCUAGAUGAGAAGCUUUCUAGGUAGUCAGCAGUAUGGUAUCACUUACGAACAGAAAGGAAUCACAAAUGCAUCCCCACGACUAUGAAACUAUAGUUUAGUAGUCAAAACCUCUUUAUGGCACUACAGCAUCUAAAUACAGAGUAAUAUAAAUGCCUCAAAAGGUUAAGAAGGUGUCAUUUCUUACACGUUUUCUACAUAGAACAUAACUGCUGUGUCCUGCCCUGUUCUGCCGGGCUGGUCACUGUGCUUUACCGUGCAUAUCAACAAUGCCCCUGGAGUUGUGCAGUGCACAGCCUGCGCAGCUGUGCCUGGUGGUCGUGGCUGUGGCACUAUCAACGAGGCAGUUGUAUAUGCCUCUGGAGGUUUCACCGGACAGACACGUUUGUAAAGUAUGGAGUGCAAACAGUAUUUAAAGGCAGGGACAUAGAGGCAUUACUGAAAGAGCUUGUAGAGAGAGGGCAGAGAGGCCAGCACCGAGGGGCCAGACUGCACCAGCAAAGAGAGCUCAGACGCAGGAGCUGGAGCCUGGAAAGGAAGCUGAAAUGGACCAAUCAGUGGAACAAAAUCACGAGAGGGUAGAAUCAGCAAAGAGCAGCAGGAGAUGCUGGAGGGAGGAGCGGGGCACUGUGAAAGGUGCCCCAGGAAGCCCCAGCCCCGCUGGCAGCACAAGGUCAAUGUGAUCCUUAUCGUCCCUCCCGCUUAUGCACAGGUGCACAGAGCAGAUGCUCAGUAUUGGCCUCCCCCAUAAAACGUGCAGCAGCCUGCAAGCUGUACGAAGCCAGGAUCCGGUCUGUGCCCCUUCCCCGGGGGGCUUGCCUCCCGGGCUUGUGCUAAAUGCUCACUAUUGAACAAAGCAACCAGUCGAUCAGUGCAUGGAUGAACAGAGGAAAGAAUAAAAUCCCACCAUUACACUGAGCCCUCACACAAGCCUGUGCAGAGAGGCGAAUGGGUUGUUACGCUAAGUGCUGGAUUUAGAAGCGACUGAGAUGUGGUAAGGUCAGUGAUCUGCCUAACGUCAUACAGCUGGGAAGGGACAAGACUCUGUCUCCAGACUCCAGAUCUCAUUAAUUCUCAGCACACGUGCCGUACUGUCCCAACAGGCAGCAGCCCCCUGGCCUCCUUCCUCACACACACGCUCACACCCACUGAGACACACAAGAUACUAGUGCUGGAGGAGUCUUAUCUGUGAGAAGACCCUUUCCAUAGCAGCACUGGCUUUGCAUAGACUGUGCCCUCAUCAGUUACAGUGACCUGUUUCAGCCCUAACUGUUCCUCACCCAAGUAACGAUGACAAGGAUGGCCUGCACCGAAUUCUCAAGAUUUGGUCUGUUUCUAACAAAGACACAGAGUCCCCGGUCUUCUCUGUCACCUGGAGCUCAAUGCACUUCCAAAAGUCCUGCCCACACAGUCACCUGGAGCCAUUUCAGGCAGAAUCCAGACCUGCACCAUGCUCCUUCAAGAGAAGAAGCAAGAGGCAUCAAGGAAGUGAGAGAAGGUAACAGUAUUGCUUCACAGGCUCACCGCAGGGCACACAGGUGGCAGGUAAGACCACAGGGCACACAGGAGGCAGGUAAGACCACAGGGCACACAGGUGGCAGGUAAGGGUAGUGCUACAGGCAAGGGACCUGAGCAAUGCCAAAUGGGCCGUGACACCUGGCAGUGCCUGCAGUCCUGGCUGUGCCUAGAGGGCUUGAACUUUUGAGCCAUUCAAUACCCUUCAGUAAUGCCAGCGUCUUAUAAACAUGUAGGGGGAUCCACAUUCUGGCCACCCAGCUCCAGGCAUCUGCCUCACCCAGGAAGGCCUCAGUGGUCUCAGCCCUGAUCCCACUCCCUGCUCUGUCCACUGGAAUUCUGCCCUGGGGCAGCAUCUGAAUUGUAGUCACCUUGAGGGGUGGAGGUUGAAUUUACAAUCAUACUCUUCAUCUUAACACACCAAAGGGCUGCUCAGCCAAAGGACAAAGGAUUUUGCAGUGUUUUGGCAAUGGCCAGGCGACAGUGGAGAGGGUUUGUGUGAAUCGGAGCCUUCCCCGGUGCUGUAGCACCACAGACGCACCCAUCAGCAAUGAUUCUGAUGGAAAGACAAGGCUGAGCACCAAACGGUGUGGGAGGAGGAGAGGAGAGAGCUUCAAAACAUCAUGAUGCUCCAGUGCAGUGCUUUUGAAUGAGAAAUAGGAUUUCUCCAUUUCCCCUACAGUAUUAGUAAAAUAUGAAAAAAAAAAUUGAUUCUAGAAAAUCUGACUUUCUCCUGCAAUGUGUCCUAAUUAUGCCUCGGAGGGGAAAAAAUGUCGUAUUCCCAUCCAUUUGCAUGAGGAUGAGAAUUUUACUAAAGACUCAAGACUCCCGAAAGCAAUAGCAUUUUAAUAUUGCAGCAAUGUGGAAAGUCUUAUCAGAAUAAACAUGAGACAUGGUUACCUUAGGCAGCCACACUCAUCAUUCAAAGAUGGGAACAUGCUGCCCACCCUACAAUCUCCAAUACUUUUUAAAAGUAUCUUUAAAAAACUUGUUUUGUUAAGGGAGCAAUUUAAAAAUUGUUAAUUGCAGUGUUGUGCAAUGGCCAGGCGAUAGCAGAAGAGGGCAUAAAAAUAAAUACAUACACCAAAGGAAUAGAGUAGAGGUGCCAGAAAUAAGCUCUUACAUAUAUGGGCAAAUGAUUUUCAGUAAUGAUGGCAAGACCAUUCAAUAGGGAAAAGGACAGUUUCUUCCACAGGUGGUAUUUGGAAAACUGGGUAUCUACAUGCAAAAGAAUGAAGUUGGACCCUUACCUAACACCACAGACAAAAAUUAACUCAAAAUGGAUCAAAGACCUAAACCUAAGACUCAAAACUAUAAAACUCCUAGAAGAAAACAUGGAGGAAAAGGUCAUGGCAUAGACUUUGGCAGUGAUUUCCUGGCUAUGACACCAAAAUCACAGACCACAGCAGGAAAAAUGGAUACACUGGACGGCAUCGAAAUGUAAAACUUCUGUGCAUCAAACGACACUGUCGUCAGAGUGGAAACGAAACACAUUGAGUGCGAGAAAAGACUUGCAAAUCAUGUACCUGACAAGGGACUGCUAUCCAGAAUACGUAAAAAACGUAUACAAGUCAACAACAAAAACAACCCAACUGAAAAAUGGGCAAAGGACUUGAAUAUGGAGAGAUGCUCAACAUCAGGAAUCAUUAGGGAAAUAAAAAGGAAAACCUACCGGUGAGAGAUCACACCCAACCCAUCAGGAUGGCACUAUCCAAAAAUCAAUAAAUACACACACAAAACAAAGAGAAAGAGAGAAACCCAGAAAUAACAAGCGUUGGUAAGAAUGUGAAGAAAAUGGAGUCCUUGUACACUCUGGUGGGAAUAUAAAAUGAUAUAGGUACUAUGGAAAAUAAUAUGGUGGUUUCUUGAAAAAGCAAAAGUAACCAUUUGAUCCAGCAAUUCAACUUCCAUGUACAUAUCUAUGAGAACUGAAAGCAGGGUGUUGAAGAGAUACUCAUGUCCAUAGCAGCAUUAGCCCAAGUAUCCAUGGACAGAUGAAGGCAUAAGCUAAAGGUGGGGUAUGCAUACAAUGGAAUAUUACUCAGCCUCAUAAAAGAAGGAAAAGCUGAACUAUGUUACUGCAUGGAUGAACCUUGAGGCCAUUAUGCCAGGUGAAGUAA
This is a non-coding RNA of Chlorocebus sabaeus (green monkey), 5243 nucleotides long. Lineage: Eukaryota; Metazoa; Chordata; Mammalia; Primates; Cercopithecidae. The record is from RefSeq and is a predicted model, not a curated record.